AAGGAAAGAGGGAGGUAUGAUUAACACAUGCAAGUCGAACGAGACCUUCGGGUCUAGUGGCGCACGGGUGCGUAACGCGUGGGAACCUGCACGUAGGUUCUGAAUACCUCCCUGAAAGGGGUGAUAAUACCGGAUAAUGUCUUCGGACCAAAGAUUUAUCGUCUUUGGAUGGGCCCGCGUUGGUUUAGCUAGUUGGUAGGGUAAAAGCCUAUCAAGGCGAGGAUCCAUAGCUGGUCUGAGAGGAUGAUCAGCCACACUGGGACUGAGACACGGCCCAGACUCCUACGGGAGGCAGCAGUGGGGAAUAUUGGACAAUGGGCGAAGGCCUGAUCCAGCAAUGCCGGGUGAGUGAUGAAGGCCUUAGGGUUGUAAAGCUCUUUUACCCGGGAUGAUAAUGACAGUACCGGGAGAAUAAGCUCCGGCUAACUCCGUG
RNAcentral lists this ribosomal RNA (433 nucleotides) under uncultured bacterium. RNAcentral's name for it is "partial 16S ribosomal RNA". It matches the Rfam family "Bacterial small subunit ribosomal RNA", at positions 31 to 507 of the family's 1533-position model. The record is from RNAcentral.